GUGGGGAAUUUUGGACAAUGGGCGCAAGCCUGAUCCAGCAAUGCCGCGUGCAGGAAGAAGGCCUUCGGGUUGUAAACUGCUUUUGUACGGAACGAAACGGUCCGGGUUAAUACCCUGGGCUAAUGACGGUACCGUAAGAAUAAGCACCGGCUAACUACGUGCCAGCAGCCGCGGUAAUACGUAGGGUGCAAGCGUUAAUCGGAAUUACUGGGCGUAAAGCGUGCGCAGGCGGUUUUGUAAGACAGGCGUGAAAUCCCCGGGCUCAACCUGGGAAUUGCGCUUGUGACUGCCAGGCUGGAGUGCGGCAGAGGGGGAUGGAAUUCCGCGUGUAGCAGUGAAAUGCGUAGAUAUGCGGAGGAACACCGAUGGCGAAGGCAAUCCCCUGGGCCUGCACUGACGCUCAUGCACGAAAGCGUGGGGAGCAAACAGGAUUAGAAACCCGUGUAGUCC
RNAcentral lists this ribosomal RNA (450 nucleotides) under uncultured bacterium. RNAcentral describes it as "bacterial SSU rRNA". It matches the Rfam family "Bacterial small subunit ribosomal RNA", at positions 354 to 796 of the family's 1533-position model. The record is from RNAcentral.